AUACGGAGGGUGCAACGCGUUAAUCGGAAUCACUGGGCGUAAAGCGCACGUAGGCUGUUUGGUAAGUCAGGGGUGAAAUCCCGCAGCUCAACUGCGGAAUUGCUCUUGAUACUGCUGGACUUGAGUUCGGGAGAGGGUGGCGGAAUUCCAGGUGUAGGAGUGAAAUCCGUAGAUAUCUGGAGGAACAUCAGUGGCGAAGGCGGCCACCUGGACCGAUACUGACGCUGAGGUGCGAAAGCGUGGGGAGC
RNAcentral lists this ribosomal RNA (248 nucleotides) under uncultured bacterium. RNAcentral's name for it is "partial 16S ribosomal RNA". It matches the Rfam family "Bacterial small subunit ribosomal RNA", at positions 523 to 769 of the family's 1533-position model. The record is from RNAcentral.